AACGAACGCUGGCGGCGUGCUUAACACAUGCAAGUCGAGUGCGCGCCUGUAGCAAUACAGGUGGCGCACGGCGCACGGGUGCGUAACACGUGGGUAAUCUGCCCUCUGAUGGGGAAUAACCCGCCGAAAGGCGGGCUAAUUCCGCAUAAAAUUCCUUGGACUUAUGUUCGAGGACUCAAAGGCGUAAGUCGUCGGAGGAGGAGCCCGCGCACGAUUAGCUAGUUGGUAGGGUAAUGGCCUACCAAGGCUUUGAUCGUUAGCUGGUCUGAGAGGAUGGCCAGCCACACUGGAACUGAGACACGGUCCAGACUCCUACGGGAGGCAGCAGUGGGGAAUCUUGCACAAUGGGCGAAAGCCUGAUGCAGCGACGCCGCGUGGGGGAUGAAGCAUUUCGGUGUGUAAACCCCUUUCGAUCCGGACGAAUGCCUCGCAAGAGGAGUGACGGUACGGAUAUAAGAGGCCCCGGCUAACUACGUGCCAGCAGCCGCGGUAAGACGUAGGGGGCCAGCGUUGUUCGGAAUUACUGGGUGUAAAGGGUUCGUAGGCGGUGUGGCAAGUUGGGAGUGAAAUCUCUGGGCUCAACCCAGAGACUGCUUCCAAAACUGCUGUGCUUGAGUGUGAGAGAGGCUCGUGGAAUUGCAGGUGUAGCGGUGAAAUGCGUAGAUAUCUGCAGGAACACCCGUGGCGAAAGCGGCGAGCUGGAUCACUACUGACGCUGAGGAACGAAAGCUAG
This 733-nucleotide ribosomal RNA is filed under the name uncultured bacterium. Its description in RNAcentral is "bacterial SSU rRNA". It matches the Rfam family "Bacterial small subunit ribosomal RNA", at positions 28 to 763 of the family's 1533-position model. The record is from RNAcentral.